UGGAGAUGGAUGCGUGAGUGAAAGGAAAUGCUCGUGAAGCAAGUCGAGGCUGCUCCAUCAUCACCACGGCUCCUGUGUGCACGGGAAAGCUCAGCCCUCUCACCGCCAACAGCUGGAGGAGAUAAUUCAUGUGCCAGGAGUGCUGGGCAGCCCGUGAGCCCACGGGUGGAUGAUGGAUUUGCACCUCCAAAGCAGGUCACAUUUAGGAAAAAGAUUCUUAAAUAUUUCUUUGGAAGUAAACUGGUGCCAUUUCCAAAUUGAUUCAUCAAACAUUCUCAUGCCUGAAUUUGUGCACAAAUAUCAUGUGAAUGUUUUACUUUUAUCAACUCUGUCUUCUGAGAGGGAGUCGUGGUAUGAACAUAAGUUGCUAAGUUGAAGACAGGCGUUUUAAAGAUAAAUGGUAAACCUGAACUGGAAAUCCAUCUGGCCGGCUGCCUGCUCUAAUGAAUAACCCCACUUUGGCACAUGCAAUGUAAGCAGAAAGUUCUCUCCCAGCCUCUUUCGUCUGUCAUGAAUCUACGAGACAGCCGACAUAAUAUCUGGGCGACACCGGUGCGCUAACAGUGCAGGCCUGUGUUGGUUGCUCUGCAUAUGAAACCCUAUUUAAUUCUCACCAAAUCCUGAAGCUGAAACUCAGAGAAAGUAGAAUUUUCUGAAGAUUACACAGCUGAGAAAUAUGGGAAAAUGGAUUCAGACUCAGAUCUGCCUCGUUCUGAAGCUUACUUUCUUUUCAAUGCACUGAACUGUAUCAAGGAUGUUUUUUGGAAGGCAGACUGAUGGGUGCAAGAGUGAAGAGGUAUGAAUAAACACUAGCUACAGGAUGACAGAGAUUCCUUCCUGGAAACCGUGGUUGGGAUGAAGCAAUAAAUACCAAAAAAAUAUUUAAAAAAUUUUUUUACUAGGAGGAAUUCCAAGAUGAAAUUCCAUGCGCUUGACAAGCAUUUAUCAAACCUGAAUUUAUUUCCUGAUUACAAAAUAAUUCCAUGUUACUGGUAGAAUUAGGAAACUGUAUAGGAAUCACCAGUUACACAGUCAGACAGAGCUAACUACUGUUAAUGUUUUUCUAAUCUCUUUAUCUUUUUCUUCAAAUAUAUACAUAUAUAUAUAUAGUGUUUAUCUAAUUAAAAUUAUGCUUUUCAUAUGUUUGUAAUCUGAUGUCUGAAUUAAUAACAUAUCACAACAUUUUAU
Long non-coding RNA from Lagenorhynchus albirostris (white-beaked dolphin), 1188 nucleotides. RefSeq lists it as uncharacterized. The transcript has 3 exons. Lineage: Eukaryota; Metazoa; Chordata; Mammalia; Artiodactyla; Delphinidae. The record is from RefSeq and is a predicted model, not a curated record.